GGCCUUUUGAUGAUAAUUUAAGGUCUGACCUGCCCAAUGAUGUAGUAUUAAAUGGCCGCGGUAUUUUGACCGUGCAAAGGUAGCAUAAUCAUUAGUUUUUUAAUUGAAAGCUUGUAUGAAAGGUUUAAUGAAAAAAUAGCUGUCUCUAUUUAAAUUUUUUAGAAAUUUAUUUUUAAGUUAAAAAGCUUAAAUGGACAUUAAAGACGAGAAGACCCUAUAGAGUUUUAUAGUUUUAAGGAGUUAUUAUAUUUUAGGAUUUUUUAAUGAUUUUUUAAGACUAUUUGGUUGGGGUGAUUGAAAAAUUAGUAAAACUUUUUUAUUAUAAAUUUCACUGAUUUGUGAAUUUUUGAUCUUUAUUAAAGAUUAAUAGAUAAAAUUACCUUAGGGAUAACAGCGUAAUUUUUUUUAGAGUUCUUAUCAAAGAAAAAGAUUGCGACCUCGAUGUUGGAUUAAGAUAAAUUGUUGGUGUAGAAGCUGACAAAUUGGGUCUGUUCGACCUUUAGAUUUUUACAUGAUCUGAGUUUAAACCGGUGUGAG
This 537-nucleotide ribosomal RNA is filed under the name Echinodera nebrodiensis. RNAcentral's name for it is "partial 16S ribosomal RNA". It matches the Rfam family "Bacterial large subunit ribosomal RNA", at positions 1819 to 2625 of the family's 2925-position model. Lineage: Eukaryota; Metazoa; Arthropoda; Insecta; Coleoptera; Curculionidae. The record is from RNAcentral.